This 450-nucleotide ribosomal RNA is filed under the name uncultured prokaryote. Its description in RNAcentral is "bacterial SSU rRNA". It matches the Rfam family "Bacterial small subunit ribosomal RNA", at positions 355 to 796 of the family's 1533-position model. The record is from RNAcentral.
UAGGGAAUAUUGGACAAUGGGCGAAAGCCUGAUCCAGCCACGCCGCGUGAGUGAUGAAGGCCUUCGGGUCGUAAAGCUCUGUGGGGAGGGACGAAAAAGGUGAGUUCGAAUAGGGCUCGCCCUCGACGGUACCUCCUUAGCAAGCACCGGCUAACUCUGUGCCAGCAGCCGCGGUAAGACAGAGGGUGCAAACGUUGCUCGGAAUUACUGGGCGUAAAGCGCGUGUAGGCGGAUUUGCAAGUCGGGUGUGAAAUCCCUGGGCUCAACCCAGGAACUGCAUCCGAAACUGCGAAUCUUGAGUAUUGGAGAGGGAAGCGGAAUUCCUGGUGUAGAGGUGAAAUUCGUAGAUAUCAGGAGGAACACCGGUGGCGAAGGCGGCUUCCUGGACAAUCACUGACGCUGAGACGCGAAAGCGUGGGGAGCAAACAGGAUUAGAUACCCCCGUAGUCC